Non-coding RNA from Candidatus Azambacteria bacterium, 75 nucleotides. The record is from Rfam. NCBI's taxonomy places the organism in Bacteria, Candidatus Azamiibacteriota.
GCCGCUAUCGUCUAGCCUGGUCUAGGACAUCUGGUUCUCAUCCAGAAAACUCGGGUUCAAAUCCCGAUAGCGGUA